This 73-nucleotide transfer RNA is filed under the name Felis catus (domestic cat). It matches the Rfam family "tRNA". From Rfam's summary of the family: Transfer RNA (tRNA) molecules are approximately 80 nucleotides in length. Their secondary structure includes four short double-helical elements and three loops (D, anti-codon, and T loops). Further hydrogen bonds mediate the characteristic L-shaped molecular structure. tRNAs have two regions of fundamental functional importance: the anti-codon, which is responsible for specific mRNA codon recognition, and the 3' end, to which the tRNAs corresponding amino acid is attached (by aminoacyl-tRNA synthetases). tRNAs cope with the degeneracy of the genetic code in two manners: having more than one tRNA (with a specific anti-codon) for a particular amino acid; and 'wobble' base-pairing, i.e. permitting non-standard base-pairing at the 3rd anti-codon position. The record is from Rfam by way of RNAcentral. RNAcentral also lists the same sequence under 2 other names. Lineage: Eukaryota; Metazoa; Chordata; Mammalia; Carnivora; Felidae.
AUCUGGCUGGCUCAGUGGGUAGAGCAUGUGACUUUUGACCAUGAGGCUGUGGGUUCAAGCCCUGUGUUGAGUU